Molecule: ribosomal RNA, 468 nt
Filed under: uncultured bacterium
Lineage: Bacteria
Description: partial 16S ribosomal RNA
Rfam family: Bacterial small subunit ribosomal RNA
Source: RNAcentral
GACGAACGCUGGCGGCGUGCUUAACACAUGCAAGUCGAACGGAAAGGCCCUGCUUUUGUGGGGUGCUCGAGUGGCGAACGGGUGAGUAACACGUGAGUAACCUGCCCUUGACUUUGGGAUAACUUCAGGAAACUGGGGCUACUACCGGAUAGGAGCUCCUGCUGCAUGGUGGGGGUUGGAAAGUUUCGGCGGUUGUGGAUGGACUCGCGGCUUAUCAGCUUGUUGGUGGGGUAGUGGCUUACCAAGGCUUUGACGGGUAGCCGGCAUGGGAGGGGGAUCGGCGACAAUGGGACUGAGAGACGGCCCAGACUCCUACGGGAGGCAGCAGUGGGGAAUAUUGCACAAUGGGCGGAAGCCUGAUGCAGCAACGCCGCGUGCGGGAUGACGGCCUUCGGGGUGUAAACCGCUUUCGCCUGUGACGAAGCGGGAGUGACGGUAAUGGGUAAAGAAGCACCGGCUAACUACGUG